This 468-nucleotide ribosomal RNA is filed under the name uncultured bacterium. RNAcentral describes it as "partial 16S ribosomal RNA". It matches the Rfam family "Bacterial small subunit ribosomal RNA", at positions 28 to 507 of the family's 1533-position model. The record is from RNAcentral.
GACGAACGCUGGCGGCGUGCUUAACACAUGCAAGUCGAACGGAAAGGCCCUGCUUUUGUGGGGUGCUCGAGUGGCGAACGGGUGAGUAACACGUGAGUAACCUGCCCUUGACUUUGGGAUAACUUCAGGAAACUGGGGCUAAUACCGGAGAGGAGCUCCUGCUGCAUGGGGGGGGUUGGAAAGUUUCGGCGGUGGGGGAUGGACUCGCGGCUUAUUAGCUUGUUGGUGGGGUAGUGGCUUACCAAGGCUUUGACGGGUAGCCGGCCUGAGAGGGUGACCGGGCACAUGGGGACUGAGAUACGGCCCAGACUCCUACGGGAGGCAGCAGUGGGGAAUAUUGCACAAUGGGCGGAAGCCUGAUGCAGCAACGCCGCGUGCGGGAUGACGGCCUUCGGGUUGUAAACCGCUUUAGCCUGUGACGAAGCGUGAGUGACGGUAAUGGGUAAAGAAGCACCGGCUAACUACGUG